This is a small nuclear RNA of Dromiciops gliroides (monito del monte), 102 nucleotides long. The record is from RefSeq and is a predicted model, not a curated record. Lineage: Eukaryota; Metazoa; Chordata; Mammalia; Microbiotheria; Microbiotheriidae.
GUGCUUGCUUUGGCAGCAUGUAUACUAAAAUUGGAACAAUAUAGAGAAGAUUAACAUGGCCCCUGAGCAAGGAUGACACGCAGAGAUUACUGACCAAUGUUU